GAUGGGGAGCUUGUAAGAGAAAUCUACCAUCAUCCGGACAGGCGGGGCCCGCACCAGGGAGGGAGAAGAGGAAACGAUGAGAAACAACGGGCUAUUAAAAUAAAGGGGAAAAUUGGUGAUGCAAGAGAAACUUGCAGGAACAAAGCCUUGAGUAGGCUCUUCAUGUCUGCCAGCAAUAUGUACCAUACCUGCUCUGCUCAAGGUGACUGGGGAGAAUGUUCCACUACCCCCUGCGCCUCCCUCAACCAUGAAGAGCCACACCCUUCAACCAUUGCUGUCUAUGGCUCCUGGACUAUGUUGGGUAUAUGGACCUCCUCCUGAGGUUUGCCACCUAGGCUCCAGGGGGACGUGUGUGCAUCUAUGAAGAGCAUCGGCUUCUACGGCUGGCCAUCAAAACUGGAGGCUUGCAGGUGGGGAGAGGCCAACAGGAGUCCUUGUGGGUUCCAGUUCAUCUUCAGGGGUCCAGUUUGACCUUGACAUCUACGAUGGCAUGUCCAUCUUUCAGAACUGCCUUACUAAUUUCUAGCCCAACACCAGAUACACAGGCAACAACUGUGUGGAAACCCCUCAACCAGCCCUCAUAAUUGUGUAAAGUUAAAUACCUAUAAUAAAUCCCUGAUUUUAUAUCACU
Suricata suricatta (meerkat) is the source of this 631-nucleotide long non-coding RNA. RefSeq lists it as uncharacterized. The transcript is spliced from 4 exons. The record is from RefSeq and is a predicted model, not a curated record. NCBI's taxonomy places the organism in Eukaryota, Metazoa, Chordata, Mammalia, Carnivora, Herpestidae.